This 465-nucleotide ribosomal RNA is filed under the name Vreelandella stevensii. RNAcentral's name for it is "partial 16S ribosomal RNA". It matches the Rfam family "Bacterial small subunit ribosomal RNA", at positions 338 to 795 of the family's 1533-position model. Lineage: Bacteria; Pseudomonadati; Pseudomonadota; Gammaproteobacteria; Oceanospirillales; Halomonadaceae. The record is from RNAcentral.
CCUACGGGGGGCAGCAGUGGGGAAUAUUGGACAAUGGGGGGAACCCUGAUCCAGCCAUGCCGCGUGUGUGAAGAAGGCCCUCGGGUUGUAAAGCACUUUCAGUGAGGAAGAACGCCUGGUGGUUAAUACCCAUCAGGAAAGACAUCACUCACAGAAGAAGCACCGGCUAACUCCGUGCCAGCAGCCGCGGUAAUACGGAGGGUGCGAGCGUUAAUCGGAAUUACUGGGCGUAAAGCGCGCGUAGGUGGCUUGAUAAGCCGGUUGUGAAAGCCCCGGGCUCAACCUGGGAACGGCAUCCGGAACUGUCAAGCUAGAGUGCAGAAGAGGAAGGUAGAAUUCCCGGUGUAGCGGUGAAAUGCGUAGAGAUCGGGAGGAAUACCAGUGGCGAAGGCGGCCUUCUGGACUGACACUGACACUGAGGUGCGAAAGCGUGGGUAGCAAACAGGAUUAGAUACCCGUGUAGUC